Amphiprion ocellaris (clown anemonefish) is the source of this 624-nucleotide long non-coding RNA. The record is from Ensembl. NCBI's taxonomy places the organism in Eukaryota, Metazoa, Chordata, Actinopteri, Pomacentridae.
CCUCAGGGGACCUCUUUGGUGACAUCAUCAUGAGAUGUCAUCAGGUGACAUCAUUAGGUGACAUCUUUUGGUGACAUCAUAAAGGAACAUCAUCAAGGGAAAUCUUUGGUGACAUCAUCCAAGGGACAUCAUCAGAUGACAUCAUCAGAUGACAUCAUCAGGAGAUCAGCGGGUGAAAUGUUUGGGUGCCAUCAUUAAGUGACAUCAUUAUGUGACAUCUUCAGGCGACAUCUUUGGGGACAUCAUCAGAUGACAUCAUCAGGUGACAUCUCCCCAUGACGUCAUGAGGGGACAUCAUCGACAUCUUUCGGUGACAUCAUAAAGGGACAAUAUCAGUGAUUUUAAAGCUUCAGACCAAUCAGCACCACAGACAGGGACAUCAGUGCUUCUCUGUGCAGCAGGUUUGGGCUCACAGCUGCAGUCGCACUCCGAGGAAAGACGAUACUCACAACAGUAGUCGGAGGUCAGGGAAGCGUGACCGAAGCCAGUUGCUGAGUUGACCUCCAACCUCUGCAAGGGAGGGAGGGGUGAGGAGGGGUGAGGAGGGGUGAGGAGGGGUGAGGAGGAGCCUCUUUUGUGUAAAACUACAGUAGACUCUGUCCAAUGUCACUGAAGUACAGAUGG